This is a long non-coding RNA of Oncorhynchus masou masou (cherry salmon), 1450 nucleotides long. RefSeq lists it as uncharacterized. The record is from RefSeq and is a predicted model, not a curated record. Lineage: Eukaryota; Metazoa; Chordata; Actinopteri; Salmoniformes; Salmonidae. The transcript is spliced from 3 exons.
GCUAUGGAGAAGAGGCAAUGCCAAUACCCGUAUCAAUUUUCAGUCUGUGACUUGCUUCGCCAAAGCCAUCAAUAGUUGGGCUACCGAGUGGCGCAGUGGUCUAAGGCACGGCAUCUCAAUGCUAGAGGCGUCACUACAGACACCCUGGUUCAAUUCCAGGCUGUAUCACAACUGGAUGUGAUUGGGAGUGCUGUAGGGCGGUGCACAAUUGGCCUAUUGUCAUCUGGGUUUGGCCUGUGUAGACUGUCAUUGUAAAUAAGAAUUUGUUCUAACUGACUUGCCUGGUGAAAUAAAUAAAUAAAAAACACAUUCAGCAGAAACAGGUAUAGAACCACAUAAAUAUUGUCUGAUUUGUAUAAAAUAAUUGUCUGAAGUUGUCAUGUGUUCUGACUUCCAGCUCUAUGUGAGCCAGGUGGAGGACUUCAGAUGUGUGACUUCCAGUCUACAGCCAUCAGCUGCAGACAUGUCUGCCUCCUGGAGCCUCGGGCUAAGGCCCUCCACAAACCUCUGGCCUGUGAUCUUCUUAGAACAGUCUGGGAAACACCGUUGAAAUACCUCUUGCUUUCACUUGAAAAAACUUUGUAAAAAUCUGAUAGAACCCUUUUUAUAUAUCUCAUCUGAAAACUGUUGUAAUGUGAAAUCCUUUGACCCCAGCCAUCUCUACAGACAGACACUCCUUGCACAGCCAACAGAUGGUGCUAUUCACCUAGGAUUUAAAACAAUGUUUCACGAGUGUGAACCACGGAAGUGUCUCUCUUUGUUGCUGUUGAAGCCUGGCAUGUCUGACGGCCCUGGGCCGCUAUUCUGACUGUCUGAGGCUGGUUAGUAACUGACAUCACGUAGACUCUGAGACCGCAGAUCUGCUCACCCUCAGAGCACGUCUCCACAAACAGCUCAACCAGGGGUAUUCUGUACCACAGGCUGAAAGACUUCACUUCUGUCAUUGAGGACCUGGUCCUGGCUGUGGAGCUGAGUGAGACUUGAGUCCAGGGGGCGGAGCCGAGCGGACACACCCAGGAAAAACUGAGGGCCGUGCAGUAGGCGGCCCAGGCCCAGCUGGUGCUCACCUAUAACGACUUUGCCGUGCCGUGCUUUUUCCCAUAGCUUCUACGCCGAGGAAACCAUGCUGCUCAGCAAGGCCGUCCAGGAGCAGAAGGAGGAAAGCGGCCUCCACGUUAACAGAGGAGGAAGUACCAUGAGGCAGCUCUGACAAGUUCUCUGAGGCCAUCAAGUACAACCCUGGAGUUAGACAGUACUAUGAGAACUGGGCCAAAGCCCCACCAUAAAGUGCCCAACGUGGAGGGGGCCAAGCAGGAUGCCAUCAGUACCCUUCUCCUGGACCCCACUAAUGAUCAGGCAAGACCCUCAAUGCCUGUACUGUGUGUCUCAUCAACUCUAUCCAUAAUACUGAGCUGUUAUAGCUAGGGUCUAAUGUGGACUAUAGACCCUA